UAGUAAUAAACAGCACAAGUAUGAUCACUCACCAUAUUGAUCCUUGUCUGGUGGUGGCAGUGGUAACACUAGAGCAAGAAGUGGGAUGUAAUUACAUUUUAUGUGCCAGGAAUCUCUGAGAUUUCAGAGGGCUGAGGGUGAGGGUUCUCUCCUCCUCCUCCACACUACCUCCCUACUCCCCAGCUGACAUGGUGUUUCUGGGGAACUGAAACUGGGAAGCCCUAAAUGGACUUCACACCUUGGCAGAGACCCUUGAGCAGGAUUUGUGUCUCCUCUAAAGUCAUGUUCCCCAGGCUCAGCAAGGCACUGCAGGGAGCAGCAACCUUGUCAAAGGAGGCUCUAAGCUCAGUCUGGAUUCAAUGGGAGACUGUACCUCUCUACAAAUAA
This 387-nucleotide long non-coding RNA is filed under the name Anas zonorhyncha (Eastern spot-billed duck). Its description in RNAcentral is "lncRNA (ENSAZOG00000016579.1)". Lineage: Eukaryota; Metazoa; Chordata; Aves; Anseriformes; Anatidae. The record is from RNAcentral.